Molecule: ribosomal RNA, 497 nt
Filed under: uncultured bacterium
Lineage: Bacteria
Description: partial 16S ribosomal RNA
Rfam family: Bacterial small subunit ribosomal RNA
Source: RNAcentral
GAUGAACGCUGGCGGCGUGCCUAAUACAUGCAAGUCGAGCGAACGGACGAGAAGCUUGCUUCUCUCAUGUUAGCGGCGGACGGGUGAGUAACACGUGGAUAACCUACCUAUAAGACUGGGAUAACUUCGGGAAACCGGAUCUAAUACCGGAUGAUAUUUUGAACCGCAUGGUUCAAAAGUGAAAGACGGUCUUGCUGUCACUUAUAGAUGGAUCCGCGCUGCAUUAGCUAGUUGGUAAGGUAACGGCUUACCAAGGCAACGAUGCAUAGCCGACCUGAGAGGGUGAUCGGCCACACUGGAACUGAGACACGGUCCAGACUCCUACGGGAGGCAGCAGUGGGGAAUCUUCCGCAAUGGGCGCAAGCCUGACGGAGCAACGCCGCGUGAGUGAUGAAGGUCUUCGGAUCGUAAAACUCUGUUAUUAGGGAAGAACAUAUGUGUAAGUAACUGUGCACAUCUUGACGGUACCUAAUCAGAAAGCAACGGCUAACUACGUG